GCCUUGGGCCAUAUCCCUGAGUGCACCAGAUCUCCACUGGUCUUGGAAGCUAAGCAGGGUCGGACCUGGUUAGAACUUGGAUGGGAGACUGCAGAAGCUCCCCGCCA
This 107-nucleotide ribosomal RNA is filed under the name Mus pahari (shrew mouse). RNAcentral's name for it is "rRNA (MGP_PahariEiJ_G0032602.1)". The record is from RNAcentral. Lineage: Eukaryota; Metazoa; Chordata; Mammalia; Rodentia; Muridae.